UACGUAGGGUGCGAGCGUUAAUCGGAAUUACUGGGCGUAAAGCGUGCGCAGGCGGUUCGUCGCGUCCGAUGUGAAAGCCCCGGGCUCAACCUGGGAAUGGCAUUGGAAACUGGCGGACUCGAGUGUGGCAGAGGGGGGUGGAAUUCCGCGUGUAGCAGUGAAAUGCGUAGAGAUGCGGAGGAACACCGAUGGCGAAGGCAGCCCCCUGGGCUAACACUGACGCUCAGGCACGAAAGCGUGGGGAGCAAACAGG
This 253-nucleotide ribosomal RNA is filed under the name uncultured bacterium. RNAcentral describes it as "partial 16S ribosomal RNA". It matches the Rfam family "Bacterial small subunit ribosomal RNA", at positions 524 to 776 of the family's 1533-position model. The record is from RNAcentral.